AUUGAACGCUGGCGGCAGGCCUAACACAUGCAAGUCGAACGGUAACAGGAAACAGCUUGCUGUUUCGCUGACGAGUGGCGGACGGGUGAGUAAUGUCUGGGAAGCUGCCUGAUGGAGGGGGAUAACUACUGGAAACGGUAGCUAAUACCGCAUAACGUCGCAAGACCAAAGAGGGGGACCUUCGGGCCUCUUGCCAUCAGAUGUGCCCAGAUGGGAUUAGCUAGUAGGUGGGGUAACGGCUCACCUAGGCGACGAUCCCUAGCUGGUCUGAGAGGAUGACCAGCCACACUGGAACUGAGACACGGUCCAGACUCCUACGGGAGGCAGCAGUGGGGAAUAUUGCACAAUGGGCGCAAGCCUGAUGCAGCCAUGCCGCGUGUAUGAAGAAGGCCUUCGGGUUGUAAAGUACUUUCAGCGGGGAGGAAGGGAGUAAAGUUAAUACCUUUGCUCAUUGACGUUACCCGCAGAAGAAGCACCGGCUAACUCCGUG
This 490-nucleotide ribosomal RNA is filed under the name uncultured bacterium. RNAcentral's name for it is "partial 16S ribosomal RNA". It matches the Rfam family "Bacterial small subunit ribosomal RNA", at positions 30 to 507 of the family's 1533-position model. The record is from RNAcentral.